Long non-coding RNA from Dreissena polymorpha, 966 nucleotides. RefSeq lists it as uncharacterized. The transcript has 2 exons. The record is from RefSeq and is a predicted model, not a curated record. NCBI's taxonomy places the organism in Eukaryota, Metazoa, Mollusca, Bivalvia, Myida, Dreissenidae.
CCUUCGAAGAAGAGGGGGUAUAUUGCUUUGCACAUGUUGGUCGGUCGGUCGGUCUGUCGGUCGGUCCAUCCAUCAGGUGGUUUCCGGAUGAUAACUCAAGAACGCUUAGCCCUAGGAUCAUGAAACUUCAUAGGUACAUUGAUCAUGACUCGCAGAUGACCCCUAUUGAUUUUGAGGUCACUAGGUCAAAGGUCAAGGUCACUGUGACCCAAAAUAGUAAAAUGGUUUCCGGAUGAUAAUUCAAGAACGCUUAUGCCUAGGAUCAUGAAACUUGAUAGGUAGAUUGAUCAUGACUUGCAGAUGACCCCUAUUGAUUUUCAGGUCACUAGGUCAAAGGUCAAGGUCACGGUGACCCGAAAUAGUAAAAUGGUUUCCGGAUGAUAACUCAAGAACGCUUAUGCCUAAGAUCAUGAAACUUCAUAGGUACAUUGAUCAUGACUCGCAGAUGACCCCUAUUGAUUUUGAGGUCACUAGGUCAAAGGUCAAGGUCACUGUGACCCAAAAUAGUAAAAUGGUUUCCGGAUGAUAACUCAAGAACGCUUAGGCCUAAGAUCAUGAAACUUGAUAGGUAGAUUGACCAUGACUCGCAGAUGACCCCUAUUGAUUUUGAGGUCACUACGUCAAAGGUCAAGGUCACGGUGACCCGAAAUAUUAAAAUGGUUUCCGGAUGAUAACUCAAGAACACUUAUGCCUAGGAUCAUGAAACUUGAUAGGUAGAUUGAUCAUGACUCGCAGAUGACCCCUAUUGAUUUUCAGGUCACAAGGUCAAAGGUCAAGGUCACGGUGACCCAAAAUAGUAAAAUGGUUUCCGGAUGAUAACUCAAGAACGCUUAUGCCUAGGAUCAUGAAACUUGAUAGGUAGUUUGAUCAUGACUGGCAGAUGACCCCUAUUGAUUUUCAGGUCACUAGGUCAAAGGUCAAGGUCACAGUGACAAAACAACAUAUUUACAAAAUGGCUGUCACUAC